This 425-nucleotide ribosomal RNA is filed under the name uncultured bacterium. RNAcentral describes it as "partial 16S ribosomal RNA". It matches the Rfam family "Bacterial small subunit ribosomal RNA", at positions 354 to 796 of the family's 1533-position model. The record is from RNAcentral.
GUGGGGAAUCUUAGACAAUGGGCGCAAGCCUGAUCUAGCCAUGCCGCGUGAGUGAUGAAGGCCCUAGGGUUGUAAAGCUCUUUCAGCUGGGAAGAUAAUGACGGUACCUACAGAAGAAGCCCCGGCUAACUUCGUGCCAGCAGCCGCGGUAAUACGAAGGGGGCUAGCGUUGUUCGGAUUUACUGGACGUAAAGCGCACGUAGGCGGAUUGGUCAGUUAGAGGUGAAAUCCUGGAGCUCAACUCCAGAACUGCCUUUAAUACUGCCAGUCUAGAGUCCAGAAGAGGUGAGUGGAACUCCUAGUGUAGAGGUGGAAUUCGUAGAUAUUAGGAAGAACACCAGUGGCGAAGGCGGCUCACUGGUCUGGUACUGACGCUGAGGUGCGAAAGCGUGGGGAGCAAACAGGAUUAGAAACCCCUGUAGUCC